Molecule: ribosomal RNA, 1240 nt
Filed under: Staphylococcus aureus
Lineage: Bacteria; Bacillati; Bacillota; Bacilli; Caryophanales; Staphylococcaceae
Description: partial 23S ribosomal RNA
Rfam family: Bacterial large subunit ribosomal RNA
Source: RNAcentral
GAUAUGUGAAUACAUAGCAUAUCAGAAGGCACACCCGGAGAACUGAAACAUCUUAGUACCCGGAGGAAGAGAAAGAAAAUUCGAUUCCCUUAGUAGCGGCGAGCGAAACGGGAAGAGCCCAAACCAACAAGCUUGCUUGUUGGGGUUGUAGGACACUCUAUACGGAGUUACAAAGGACGACAUUAGACGAAUCAUCUGGAAAGAUGAAUCAAAGAAGGUAAUAAUCCUGUAGUCGAAAAUGUUGUCUCUCUUGAGUGGAUCCUGAGUACGACGGAGCACGUGAAAUUCCGUCGGAAUCUGGGAGGACCAUCUCCUAAGGCUAAAUACUCUCUAGUGACCGAUAGUGAACCAGUACCGUGAGGGAAAGGUGAAAAGCACCCCGGAAGGGGAGUGAAAUAGAACCUGAAACCGUGUGCUUACAAGUAGUCAGAGCCCGUUAAUGGGUGAUGGCGUGCCUUUUGUAGAAUGAACCGGCGAGUUACGAUUUGAUGCAAGGUUAAGCAGUAAAUGUGGAGCCGUAGCGAAAGCGAGUCUGAAUAGGGCGUUUAGUAUUUGGUCGUAGACCCGAAACCAGGUGAUCUACCCUUGGUCAGGUUGAAGUUCAGGUAACACUGAAUGGAGGACCGAACCGACUUACGUUGAAAAGUGAGCGGAUGAACUGAGGGUAGCGGAGAAAUUCCAAUCGAACCUGGAGAUAGCUGGUUCUCUCCGAAAUAGCUUUAGGGCUAGCCUCAAGUGAUGAUUAUUGGAGGUAGAGCACUGUUUGGACGAGGGGCCCCUCUCGGGUUACCGAAUUCAGACAAACUCCGAAUGCCAAUUAAUUUAACUUGGGAGUCAGAACAUGGGUGAUAAGGUCCGUGUUCGAAAGGGAAACAGCCCAGACCACCAGCUAAGGUCCCAAAAUAUAUGUUAAGUGGAAAAGGAUGUGGCGUUGCCCAGACAACUAGGAUGUUGGCUUAGAAGCAGCCAUCAUUUAAAGAGUGCGUAAUAGCUCACUAGUCGAGUGACACUGCGCCGAAAAUGUACCGGGGCUAAACAUAUUACCGAAGCUGUGGAUUGUCCUUUGGACAAUGGUAGGAGAGCGUUCUAAGGGCGUUGAAGCAUGAUCGUAAGGACAUGUGGAGCGCUUAGAAGUGAGAAUGCCGGUGUGAGUAGCGAAAGACGGGUGAGAAUCCCGUCCACCGAUUGACUAAGGUUUCCAGAGGAAGGCUCGUCCGCUCUGGGUUAGUCGGGUCCUAAG